This 886-nucleotide long non-coding RNA is filed under the name Homo sapiens (human). Its description in RNAcentral is "HSALNT0041194". The record is from RNAcentral. Lineage: Eukaryota; Metazoa; Chordata; Mammalia; Primates; Hominidae.
GUCUCCUUCCAUAGUGUGGAAGCUUUGUUCUUUCACUCUUUGCGAUAAAUCUUGCUGCUGCUCACUCUUUGGGUCCACACUGCCUUUAUGAGCUGUAACAUUCACCGCGAAGGUCUGCAGCUUCACUCCUGAGGCCAGCGAGACCACGAGCCCACCAGAAGGAAGAAACUCCGAACACGUCCGAACAUCAGAAGGAACAAACUCUGGACACACCACCUUUAAGAACUGUAACACUCACUGCGAGGGUCCGCAGCUUCAUUCUUGAAGUCAGUGAGACCAAGAACCCACCAAUUCCAGACACACCAUGUUAACUGUAUCUGCAAAACAGAGCCGUGGGACCUCUGGAAGUCUGACCAACCUAUUUCCAACUGUGCUUCUAGAAGCAUGUUCUGUCUUCAGAAUCUGGUUGGCAUCAAUGCUGAGACCUAAACCACAAGCAUGAGGCCCUCACCAGACUCCACCAGAAGUGGCCACCCAAUAUUGAACUUCCCAGCCUUCAGAAUUAUAAUACUCAUUCUCCGGGCAGCAGACAAAAGACUUGGAGACAUACACAGCUGAAGGAAAUGAAAAGGCAACAAGGCUAAGAGAACAAAGAUGAGCAUUGCCACGGUCCGGAGGAUGGUGGUGGAGGAAGCCUUCUCUACGCUGGUGCCUCUAUUGGAACUUUCAGGAAAUGAACAUGAACAUUGCCCUGAGAUCAUCUUGUGAGGCAGCUGGUCUAGCCUCCUGGAGGAGAAGCAGUUUUGUGGAGAAGAUUCCAGGCAUCCCUGCCAACAAGCACCAACUCCAGAUAUAUGAGGAAGAGUAGUUUACAACUGACACUGUUUGGAAUUGCUGGCACAUGGUGAUAAUCAAAGGCCUACCUAGUAAGCUCCUUCAUUAUAAG